This 262-nucleotide ribosomal RNA is filed under the name uncultured bacterium. RNAcentral describes it as "partial 16S ribosomal RNA". It matches the Rfam family "Bacterial small subunit ribosomal RNA", at positions 507 to 769 of the family's 1533-position model. The record is from RNAcentral.
GCCAGCAGCCGCGGUAAUACGUAGGGGGCAAGCGUUGUCCGGAAUUAUUGGGCGUAAAGCGCGCGCAGGCGGUUCGUUAAGUCUGAUGGUAAAGCCCGGGGCUCAACCCCGGUAUUCAUUGGAAACUGGCGGACUGGAGUGCAGGAGAGGGAAGCGGAAUUCCACGUGUAGCGGUGAAAUGCGUAGAGAUGUGGAGGAACACCAGUGGCGAAGGCGGCUUCCUGGCCUGUAACUGACGCUGAGGCGCGAAAGCGUGGGGAGC